Non-coding RNA from Aedes albopictus (Asian tiger mosquito), 58 nucleotides. NCBI's taxonomy places the organism in Eukaryota, Metazoa, Arthropoda, Insecta, Diptera, Culicidae. The record is from Rfam.
UAGCUUUGUGGUUAAGGCUUUGGAUCGCCAAUCCGGAGACGGCGGGUUCGAUUCCCGU